Molecule: long non-coding RNA, 607 nt
Filed under: Sus scrofa (pig)
Lineage: Eukaryota; Metazoa; Chordata; Mammalia; Artiodactyla; Suidae
Description: lncRNA (ENSSSCG00070026892.1)
Source: RNAcentral
AGAUUAUUAGAGGUGACAGCAGUUUAAGUGGAGUAGAACAAUUUUGGAAAUUGGAUUAUAACAUUUAAUUCGAUGAUUAACUUUUUUAAAAAAAGUGCCUAAAGUGGGAGGAUGAGUGGCUGGCGUGCCUUUCAUCAUUUUGAUUUUGAGAUCUUAACAUUUUUCUUGCCUCCUUUCAGCACCACCAAGCUGCCCUGGAAUGGAACUUCUGCUCAGUUCUUGGAUUGAGGGAUGGAGGAGGAGUUUACUUCAUUCAUUCUCAGGGACUCUUAACUGGUGAGAAGAAUUUAGGAUAUUUUACCAUCUGGAGUUUCUCUGCCUCACUGGUGAUUUAAACUCAAACCUGCCAGUUUAUGCAAGAUGAUAGAAAGUACCCUGUAACAUCUGAGUUGCAAAAAUAUCUGCCUCUGAGAGCUCAGGAGGAUCUGCUUUGUGGGAGCAAAGGUAGUGAGUCAUACCUGGAAGCUUGCGCCUCUUCAUCCAGUCAAGUCUCCUAGGCAACAGUUUAUGCAGCACUUAAAAGAUGAGGAGUUAAGAGGAGAAAAUGGAAAAAAAAAACAACAGAAGUACUUUUAAUGGAACAGAAUAAACCACUGAACAGGUACCA